UUGCCGACGAUGUGAUAUGAGAUGUUGUAUUACAUUAUAGAAAUUAGAGUUUUUUGGCUCUGGGGAUAGUAUGAUCGCAAGAUUGAAAAUUAAAGAAAUUGACGGAAGAAUACCACAAGGAGUGGAUUGUGCGGCUUAAUUUGACUCAACGCGAGGUAACUUACCAAUAUUUUAUUGUUCUGCGAGGAUAUGAUCUGAGGAUGAUAAUAGUGGUGCAUGGCCGUUUUCAAUGGAUGCUGUGA
RNAcentral lists this ribosomal RNA (242 nucleotides) under Vairimorpha apis. RNAcentral's name for it is "Nosema apis partial 16S ribosomal RNA". It matches the Rfam family "Microsporidia small subunit ribosomal RNA", at positions 692 to 930 of the family's 1311-position model. The record is from RNAcentral. Lineage: Eukaryota; Fungi; Microsporidia; Nosematidae.